This 469-nucleotide ribosomal RNA is filed under the name uncultured bacterium. RNAcentral describes it as "partial 16S ribosomal RNA". It matches the Rfam family "Bacterial small subunit ribosomal RNA", at positions 28 to 507 of the family's 1533-position model. The record is from RNAcentral.
GAUGAACGCUGGCGGCGUGCUUAACACAUGCAAGUCGAACGGUGAACACGGAGCUUGCUCUGUGGGCUCAGUGGCGAACGGGUGAGUAACACGUGAGCAACCCGCCCCUGACUCUGGGAUAAGCGCUGGAAACGGCGUCUAAUACUGGAUAUGUGACGUGACCGCAUGGUCUGCGUUUGGAAAGAUUUUUCGGUUGGGGAUGGGCUCGCGGCCUAUCAGCUUGUUGGUGGGGUAAUGGCUCACCAAGGCGUCGACGGGUAGCCGGCCUGGGAGGGUGACCGGCCACAAGGGGACUGAGAGACGGCCCAGACUCCUACGGGAGGCAGCAGUGGGGAAUAUUGCACAAUGAGCGCAAGCCUGAUGCAGCAGCGCCGCGUGAGUGAUGACGGCCUUCGGGUUGUAAACCUCUUUUAGCAGGGAAGAAGCGAAAGUGACGGUACCUGCAGAAAAAGCGCCGGCUAACUACGUG